This 1992-nucleotide long non-coding RNA is filed under the name Helianthus annuus (common sunflower). RNAcentral's name for it is "hypothetical non coding rna". Lineage: Eukaryota; Viridiplantae; Streptophyta; Magnoliopsida; Asterales; Asteraceae. The record is from RNAcentral.
UUAUAAAUCCCCUCCCAAGUUUAUCAAAUGUUCAAACCGUUCCCUCUCCUGAUGAAAAUUCCCUCGUCACUAAUUCAUUACCCGCCCACACCCUUAACCCUAAAUUGGGUUAUUCUCCAAACUGGAUUCAUCCUUGAAGACUCGUGUUCUACAUAGUCGUUACUUCAAUUCUUUGCCCUGAAUCGGUACGUAGAGAUGGUAACUGGCCGCUAACCACCACCAAUCGACCUCAAGGGCUUCGAUUACAGGCGUUACCCCAUGAUUUUCUUCGGCUACAGACACCACCAAUCGACAUCAGGUUCUAAUUGAAAUAUUUAGUAAGUAUGUUUACGAGAUGAUAGAACUUCCAUUUGGUUAGCACAUAGUUCGAAUUGCAUAUAUGGUAGUUCUUGUUCGAUUCAUUCUUCCAUUCCCAAAGUUUACUUUUAGCUAUAGUUUUUUUAUUUGAACAGAGCUAUAGUUCUUGUUUCUUUGUUUUAUAUGUAAUGAAUUAUUAAUCUUCAGUAUCAAAAUGUAUGGAGAUUUUAGACUGUAUUAUGUGUUUAUUCGUCUUGCUUUUGAAUGUCUACCUUCGCUAGUUCCCAACUCCUGACCAACAACCUUAGGUAUUAUAGUUUAAUUCUCAUAGUUCUGAUAUAGUUUUUUUUUUUUUUUCAAAAAGCUAGAUUCAAGUUCCCAAUUCCCAACCAACAACCUAAGGUAUCACAUUUAAUCUUGUACUUAAUGAAGAUACUUUUUAAAUUACUUGUGGUGGUGCAGAUAUUUGGGUCACAAAAGUAGUCUUUGGCGAGUAGCCACCCAGUGGCUGAUGCAGAUAGUGUAUUAAAGUGGAGUUUAUAAAGGAUAGUGUAGUGGUGCUAAUGAAGUAGAACCCACAAAUCAAAGAGUUUCUUUAUGAUUUCUUGUUUCUUUUAUACCAUUUUCACCAUGUAUUUGGUAUUUUGGUUAUUGCUAGCUUUCUAAUUGUGUAUUUUAAUAGUGUUUGUUUGCUUGCUAUUUGUUUUGAAGUUGGGGGUCUAUGUAGAAGCAACCUGAGGAAUAGAUGUAUGGUUCGUCUACAUCCCACCUCCAUAGGUGGUAGAUAUAGUUCACAUUGCACAUCCUACUAAGAUUGACAGGUGUACUCUUCACUAUACGCACACUAGAAUUUUAGUCAUCAUAUAAAGUUAAUGGCCGCAAGGGGCGUACAGAUGAGGUUAAACCAUACACCAAAGCAUCAGGUGCCAUGAUAUUACUGAAACUAAUAAAGGUGUGGUCUAUUUAAUCUUUUGAUGGAUGAACAUGAGGUUCUUAUCGGUUAUCACAUUCUGUUGAACCUUAAAGCAUGAAAGGAUACUUACUAGACUUGGCCAUAUGGGCGGGCUAACAGGAUGAGGGUCAGAAUGACAAACUUUUUGGAUCUCUAGUAAAGGGCUGAAGAUGUACUCACGCACAAACGGUUACUGCAUCUAGCUCAUGAUCCUGCUAAUAGGCCUGCAUUUGAGGUCCGGCUAGUACAGGUUUCUGCAACAACUGAUGGCAGCUCUGAUGAUGUAGUUUAUUCAAGCUCUCCUACACAGCAACCAGUCAAUAGCAUUCAUCAUCCACCACCUGCGUUUGGGUCAUCUCCUAAUCUUGAAGCCCUUGCACUUGAAACAAAUGAGUCUCAAGUUCAGAAUGGGGAUAGUGCUGUAAAUAGCUAUUCAACACUGCCCAGGUGCUUCUUCAGGAAUCACUAUAGUUUCUUGUAUUUCUAGCUAUAAUUUAAGAAGACCACCAAAGAAAAAAAAACGGAGCUACAAGCUAUACAGAAAGAUUUUUAGAGCCAAUGAGCAAACUUUGAAGAUACGAUGCUAAGUGUAAUUGAAAAGCUACCUAUUGGAGUACUUCAAGAUUUUAGAGAUGAGUAGGAGGUUUUUGUUAGUUUUUAUUUCUGGUUAUUGACAACUUUAUUUUGAUUAUAUUGUUAUUUUGAGUUUGUACAUAUGUUAAAUUAUAAUAUAAGAUAUUUGU